GGGGGUAGGCCCCUGGCAAGUAGGCCCCUCCUUUGCGGCUGCUGUGGGGACUUUCGAGAGCAGAGCACACCCCUAAGUGCGUGGAGAGGAGGGAAGCUGAGGCUCAGAGACAUCAUGAGGAUGCCAGCUCAAGGCCCAGCCAGGCCUUGGUCCUCAGCUGCUGUCAUCCAGUAGGGUAAGUGGGACCCCCAGGAGGUGUUGGGGGACACUCCUCCCCUCCCCCACACUCACAGUCUGUUCACCGCCCAAGGCAGCAGGCUGGACUCGGUGCAGGGACCAUGGCUUGGCGUGGCCAGGUUGGAGUGGCCCCUGGGACUGAAAGCAGGGGGCGUGGGGGCUCUGAGGCGGGGCCGAGUGCGGGGACGUCCUGUGGCGGGUACCCUGCUGGGUCCUGGGUGGGGGCCACCACCAGGCAGCUGUGGGAACAUUCCAGACCACCUAGGAGUAGGGCCCCUUCACCGUUUGAAGCUGACUGUAAAAAACAUCUGACCUGUGUGCAAAGCUC
This 505-nucleotide long non-coding RNA is filed under the name Homo sapiens (human). RNAcentral's name for it is "non-protein coding NALT1:6". The record is from RNAcentral. Lineage: Eukaryota; Metazoa; Chordata; Mammalia; Primates; Hominidae.